RNAcentral lists this ribosomal RNA (2895 nucleotides) under Xanthomonas arboricola. Its description in RNAcentral is "bacterial LSU rRNA". It matches the Rfam family "Bacterial large subunit ribosomal RNA". The record is from RNAcentral. Lineage: Bacteria; Pseudomonadati; Pseudomonadota; Gammaproteobacteria; Lysobacterales; Lysobacteraceae.
GUUAUAUGGUCAAGCGAAUAAGCGCACACGGUGGAUGCCUAGGCGGUCAGAGGCGAUGAAGGACGUGGUAGCCUGCGAAAAGUGUCGGGGAGCUGGCAACAAGCUUUGAUCCGGCAAUAUCCGAAUGGGGAAACCCACUGCUUCGGCAGUAUCCUGCAGUGAAUUCAUAGCUGCUGGAAGCGAACCCGGUGAACUGAAAUAUCUAAGUAACCGGAGGAAAAGAAAUCAACCGAGAUUCCCUAAGUAGUGACGAGCGAACGGGGAGCAGCCCUUAAGCUGGAAUGGCUUUAGAAAAACAAUCUGGAAAGAUUGGCCAUAGAAGGUGAUAGCCCUGUAUUUAAAAGGGCCACUCCAGUGAAGACGAGUAGGGCGGGGCACGUGAAACCCUGUCUGAAUAUGGGGGGACCAUCCUCCAAGGCUAAAUACUCCUGACCGACCGAUAGUGAACCAGUACCGUGAGGGAAAGGCGAAAAGAACCCCGGAGAGGGGAGUGAAAUAGAUCCUGAAACCGUGUGCGUACAAGCAGUAGGAGCUCGCAAGAGUGACUGCGUACCUUUUGUAUAAUGGGUCAGCGACUUACUGUUCGUGGCAAGCUUAACCGUAUAGGGGAGGCGAAGGGAAACCGAGUCUGAUAAGGGCGCAUAGUCGCGGGCAGUAGACCCGAAACCGGGUGAUCUAGUCAUGGCCAGGGUGAAGGUGCCGUAACAGGUACUGGAGGCCCGAACCCACGUCUGUUGCAAAAGACGGGGAUGAGCUGUGAUUAGGAGUGAAAAGCUAAUCGAACCCGGAGAUAGCUGGUUCUCCUCGAAAGCUAUUUAGGUAGCGCCUCGGACGAAUACUACUGGGGGUAGAGCACUGUUAUGGCUAGGGGGUCAUCGCGACUUACCAAACCAUUGCAAACUCCGAAUACCAGUACGUACUAUCCGGGAGACACACGGCGGGUGCUAACGUCCGUCGUGAAAAGGGAAACAACCCAGACCCACAGCUAAGGUCCCAAAUUCACUGCUAAGUGGAAAACGAUGUGGAAAGGCAUAGACAGCCAGGAGGUUGGCUUAGAAGCAGCCACCCUUUAAAGAAAGCGUAAUAGCUCACUGGUCGAGUCGGUCUGCGCGGAAGAUUUAACGGGGCUAAGCAGUGAACCGAAGCUUGGGGUGCAUAAAACUUGUUUUAUGCGCGGUAGAGGAGCGUUCCGUAAGCCUGCGAAGGUGGAUUGAGAAGUCUGCUGGAGGUAUCGGAAGUGCGAAUGCUGACAUGAGUAACGAUAAUGCGGGUGAAAAGCCCGCACGCCGAAAGCCCAAGGUUUCCUUGCGCAACGUUAAUCGACGCAGGGUUAGUCGGUCCCUAAGGCGAGGGCGAAAGCCGUAGUCGAUGGGAAGCAGGUUAAUAUUCCUGCACCUCGCGUGAGUGCGAUGGAGGGACGGAGAAGGUUAGGUGUACCGGGCGUUGGUUGUCCCGGGGAAAGGCGGUAGGUUUGGAUCUUUGGCAAAUCCGGGAUCCUUUAAGACCGAGCACCGAGACGAGCCUUUAUGGCGAAGUCACUGAUACCACGCUUCCAGGAAAAGCUCCUAAGCUUCAGCUCACGAAGACCGUACCGUAAACCGACACAGGUGGGUAGGAUGAGAAUUCUCAGGCGCUUGAGAGAACUCGGGUGAAGGAACUAGGCAACAUGGCACCGUAACUUCGGGAGAAGGUGCACCCUUUUUGGUGGCUCAUGCGAGCUAUAGCUGAAGAGGGUCGCAGAAACCAGGCCGCUGCGACUGUUUAUCAAAAACACAGCACUCUGCAAACACGAAAGUGGACGUAUAGGGUGUGACGCCUGCCCGGUGCUGGAAGGUUAAUUGAUGGGGUCAGCCGCAAGGCGAAGCUCUUGAUCGAAGCCCCAGUAAACGGCGGCCGUAACUAUAACGGUCCUAAGGUAGCGAAAUUCCUUGUCGGGUAAGUUCCGACCUGCACGAAUGGCGUAACGACAGCGGCGCUGUCUCCACCCGAGACUCAGUGAAAUUGAAAUCGCUGUGAAGAUGCAGCGUUCCCGUGGCAAGACGGAAAGACCCCGUGAACCUUUACUAUAGCUUUACACUGAACGUUGAGUUCGUCUGUGUAGGAUAGGUGGGAGGCUAUGAAACCAUGGCGCUAGCUGUGGUGGAGCCAUCCUUGAAAUACCACCCUGUCGUGCUUGACGUUCUAACCUAGAUCCGUUAUCCGGAUCAGGGACCGUGUAUGGUGGGUAGUUUGACUGGGGCGGUCUCCUCCUAAAGAGUAACGGAGGAGCACGAAGGUACGCUCAGCGCGGUCGGACAUCGCGCACUGUGUGCAAAGGCAUAAGCGUGCUUGACUGCAAGAUCGACGGAUCAAGCAGGUACGAAAGUAGGUCUUAGUGAUCCGGUGGUUCUGUAUGGAAGGGCCAUCGCUCAACGGAUAAAAGGUACUCCGGGGAUAACAGGCUGAUACCGCCCAAGAGUUCAUAUCGACGGCGGUGUUUGGCACCUCGAUGUCGGCUCAUCACAUCCUGGGGCUGUAGUCGGUCCCAAGGGUAUGGCUGUUCGCCAUUUAAAGUGGUACGCGAGCUGGGUUCAGAACGUCGUGAGACAGUUCGGUCCCUAUCUGCCAUGGGCGUUGGAAGUUUGAGAGGGGCUGCUCCUAGUACGAGAGGACCGGAGUGGACGAACCUCUGGUGUUCCGGUUGUCACGCCAGUGGCAUUGCCGGGUAGCUAUGUUCGGAAGCGAUAACCGCUGAAAGCAUCUAAGCGGGAAGCGCGCCUCAAGAUGAGACUUCCCGGGGCACAAGCCCCCUAAAGGAACCAUAUAGACUAUGUGGUUGAUAGGUCAGGUGUGUAAGUACAGCAAUGUAUUGAGCUAACUGAUACUAAUGAUCCGUGCGGCUUGACCAUAUAACCU